Molecule: ribosomal RNA, 396 nt
Filed under: Nematoda sp. YAMAG2018
Lineage: Eukaryota; Metazoa; Nematoda
Description: SSU rRNA
Rfam family: Eukaryotic small subunit ribosomal RNA
Source: RNAcentral
CCGCAGAUCGCACGGUCUCGCACCGGCGACGCAUCUUUCAAGUGUCUGCCUUAUCAACUUUCGAUGGUAGUUUACGUGCCUACCAUGGUUGUAACGGGUAACGGAGAAUAAGGGUUCGACUCCGGAGAGGGAGCCUGAGAAACGGCUACCACAUCCAAGGAAGGCAGCAGGCGCGCAAAUUACCCACUCUCGGCACGAGGAGGUAGUGACGAAAAAUAACGAGACGGAUCUCUUUGAGGCCCGUUAUCGGAAUGAGAACAAUUCAAAUCCUUUAACGAGGAUCUAGCGGAGGGCAAGUCUGGUGCCAGCAGCCGCGGUAAUUCCAGCUCCGCAGGUGUAUAUCUAUGCUGCUGCGGUUAAAAAGCUCGUAGUUGGAUCUGCGUGCUCGGAACCGGU